Molecule: ribosomal RNA, 506 nt
Filed under: uncultured bacterium
Lineage: Bacteria
Description: partial 16S ribosomal RNA
Rfam family: Bacterial small subunit ribosomal RNA
Source: RNAcentral
AGUGAACGCUGGCGGUAGGCCUAACACAUGCAAGUCGAACGGCAGCACAGGAGAGCUUGCUCUCUGGGUGGCGAGUGGCGGACGGGUGAGGAAUACAUCGGAAUCUACUCUGUCGUGGGGGAUAACGUAGGGAAACUUACGCUAAUACCGCAUACGACCUACGGGUGAAAGCAGGGGACCUUCGGGCCUUGCGCGAUUGAAUGAGCCGAUGUCGGAUUAGCUAGUUGGCGGGGUAAAGGCCCACCAAGGCGACGAUCCGUAGCUGGUCUGAGAGAGUGAUCAGCCACACUGGAACUGAGACACGGUCCAGACUCCUACGGGAGGCAGCAGUGGGGAAUAUUGGACAAUGGGCGCAAGCCUGAUCCAGCCAUACCGCGUGGGGGAAGAAGGCCUUCGGGUUGUAAAGCCCUUUUGUUGGGAAAGAAACCCAGCUGGCUAAUACCCGGUUGGGAUGACGGUACCCAAAGAAUAAGCACCGGCUAACUUCGUGCCAGCAGCCGCCGUAA